GCUGCUGUUUAAAUUUUAAGACAGUUCCUAACUGGAUCAGAGCCCUCAACCAGCAGGCCAAGGGAAACUGAAGAAAAACCAGGUCAUGCUGCAUGUUUUUGGUGAGCCCAGGAAUCAACAAAGAGAUGUUAUAUAACUUCUAUUUAUAUCCUCCUUGCUCACUAUCUGCAGGCAGACAAGAGUCUCUCUCUGUGCAGGGAUUUAAUGAGCUCUCUGGGUUUGCUCACCUUCCUGAGCUGGUAGGAACCAGCUUGUUCUCCAAUGCGUCAGUAAAGAGUCUGGCUGUGGGUGGGCGGCCAGGGUAGGUGGACCGAGUUGUUACCAUGGUGUUUUUUAAUUUCCCAUCUCUCAG
RNAcentral lists this small RNA (352 nucleotides) under Octodon degus (degu). RNAcentral's name for it is "sRNA (ENSODEG00000021416.1)". Lineage: Eukaryota; Metazoa; Chordata; Mammalia; Rodentia; Octodontidae. The record is from RNAcentral.